GGGUGAUUAGCUCAGCUGGGAGAGCACCUCCCUUACAAGGAGGGGUCGGCGGUUCGAUUCCCGUCAUCACCCACCA
RNAcentral lists this transfer RNA (76 nucleotides) under Klebsiella pneumoniae. Its description in RNAcentral is "tRNA-Val(tac)". It matches the Rfam family "tRNA". Rfam says of the family: Transfer RNA (tRNA) molecules are approximately 80 nucleotides in length. Their secondary structure includes four short double-helical elements and three loops (D, anti-codon, and T loops). Further hydrogen bonds mediate the characteristic L-shaped molecular structure. tRNAs have two regions of fundamental functional importance: the anti-codon, which is responsible for specific mRNA codon recognition, and the 3' end, to which the tRNAs corresponding amino acid is attached (by aminoacyl-tRNA synthetases). tRNAs cope with the degeneracy of the genetic code in two manners: having more than one tRNA (with a specific anti-codon) for a particular amino acid; and 'wobble' base-pairing, i.e. permitting non-standard base-pairing at the 3rd anti-codon position. The record is from RNAcentral. Lineage: Bacteria; Pseudomonadati; Pseudomonadota; Gammaproteobacteria; Enterobacterales; Enterobacteriaceae.